CGUUUGACGUUAGCUGCAGAAGAAGCACCGGCUAACUCCGUGCCAGCAGCCGCGGUAAUACGGAGGGUGCGAGCGUUAAUCGGAAUUACUGGGCGUAAAGACGCAUGCAGGUGGUUUGUUAAGUCAGAUGUGAAAGACCCGGGGCGUCAACCUCGGAAUAGCAUUUGAAACUGGCAGACUAGAGUACUGUAGAGGGGGGUAGGAAGUUUCAGGUGUAGCGGUGAAAUGCGUAGAGAUCUGAAGGAAUACCGGUGGCGAAGGCGGCCCCCUCGGACAGAUACUGACACUCAGAUGCGAAAGCGUGGGGAGCAAACAGGAUUAGAUACCCUGGUAG
Molecule: ribosomal RNA, 334 nt
Filed under: uncultured bacterium
Lineage: Bacteria
Description: bacterial SSU rRNA
Rfam family: Bacterial small subunit ribosomal RNA
Source: RNAcentral